This 253-nucleotide ribosomal RNA is filed under the name uncultured bacterium. RNAcentral's name for it is "partial 16S ribosomal RNA". It matches the Rfam family "Bacterial small subunit ribosomal RNA", at positions 524 to 776 of the family's 1533-position model. The record is from RNAcentral.
GACAGAGGGUGCAAACGUUGUUCGGAAUUACUGGGCGUAAAGCGUGUGUAGGCGGUCUCAUAAGUCGGAUGUGAAAGCCCCGGGCUCAACCCGGGAAGUGCAUUCGAAACUGCGAGGCUAGAGUAUCGGAGAGGUUGGUGGAAUUCUCGGUGUAGAGGUGAAAUUCGUAGAUAUUCGCAAGAACACCAGUGGCGAAGGCGGCUGACUGGUCCGGUUCUGACGCUGAGGCGCGAAAGCGUGGGGAGCAAACAGG